This 497-nucleotide ribosomal RNA is filed under the name uncultured bacterium. RNAcentral describes it as "partial 16S ribosomal RNA". It matches the Rfam family "Bacterial small subunit ribosomal RNA", at positions 28 to 507 of the family's 1533-position model. The record is from RNAcentral.
GAUGAACGCUGGCGGCGUGCCUAAUACAUGCCAGUCGAGCGAACGGACGAGAAGCUUGCUUCUCUGAUGUUAGCGGCGGACGGGUGAGUAACACGUGGAUAACCUACCUAUAAGACUGGGAUAACUUCGGGAAACCGGAGCUAAUACCGGAUAAUAUUUUGAACCGCAUGGUUCAAAAGUGAAAGACGGUCUUGCUGUCACUUAUAGAUGGAUCCGCGCUGCAUUAGCUAGUUGGUAAGGUAACGGCUUACCAAGGCAACGAUGCAUAGCCGACCUGAGAGGGUGAUCGGCCACACUGGAACUGAGACACGGUCCAGACUCCUACGGGAGGCAGCAGUAGGGAAUCUUCCGUAAUGGGCGAAAGCCUGACGGAGCAACGCCGCGUGAGUGAUGAAGGUCUUCGGACCGUAAAACUCUGUUAUUAGGGAAGAACAUAUGUGUAAGUAACUGUGCACAUCUUGACGGUACCUAAUCAGAAAGCCACGGCUAACUACGUG